AGCAGCAGUGGCUUAGGAGGUUAAGAGCUCAAAGGUAUCUAAUCUGGAGGAACUGGGUUUGAUUCCCAGCUCUGCCA
Molecule: transfer RNA, 77 nt
Filed under: Sphaerodactylus townsendi
Lineage: Eukaryota; Metazoa; Chordata; Lepidosauria; Squamata; Sphaerodactylidae
Description: tRNA-Arg
Source: RNAcentral